GACGAGUCGGCGAGACCGGCGUCGCCGUCUGCAAAGUCGCGGCUGUUCCCGGCCAAGGUCAAGGGGAGGGUGGGACCCGUUUCUGCGGCGGUGGCGAGCGCGGCUCGUCCGCCUCGCCGCCGUCUUCGUCGCUGCGGCCCUCAUCCUGACAGCUUCGGCCAAGAAGUCCGGAGAUGUCACGGAGCUUCAGAUCGGUGUGAAGACAAGCUCGAUUUGUACCAGGUGUCUCCGCCACCACAUCGCCGCCGCCGCAUCCCCGGCCGGCCGUCGGACCUCCUCACCCCAGCGACCUCCUGCCCACCGUCGGCCUGCCUGCCCAAUCAGAGAAGGGCGAGAGAGAGAGAGAGAGAGAGAGAGAGGGGGAGGAGGAAAGGAGAGGAAGGGAGAGCCGGAGAGGCGCUUGCUGACUUGGCAUCCUGAUAUGUGGGUCUCACGCUGAUUUAGCCGCCACGUUAUAUAAAACCAGGCUUAAAACCGCCGAGGGACCUAGUUUGCACUGGUUUUAUAAGUUGGAGGAUGUGUUGUAUCCGGUUUUGUGGUUGGGGGAUGAUUCUGUAACUUGAUGAUAAAUUGAGGGACCUUCAGUGUACUUUUUCCAUGCUAGGGCGUAUUUUGGUGGUGUUUGGAUCCAUAAGUCCUAGGGACUUAUUUUAGUUCUAGGACUAAUCACUUUAGUCUAUGGCUGUUUGGUUAUAGAGACUAAAAGGGACUAAAGUUCAUUAAAUGCGCUACACAAUGACCAUGUUACCCUUAAAACUAUGUAAAGAUAAAUGCACCAUG
Molecule: non-coding RNA, 780 nt
Organism: Oryza sativa Japonica Group (Japanese rice)
Lineage: Eukaryota; Viridiplantae; Streptophyta; Magnoliopsida; Poales; Poaceae
Source: RefSeq, a predicted model, not a curated record